AUUGAACGCUGGCGGAAUGCUUUACACAUGCAAGUCGAACGGUAGAGGGGGCAACCCCUUGAGAGUGGCGAACGGGUGAGUAAUAUAUCGGAACGUGCCCGGUCGUGGGGGAUAACGUAGCGAAAGCUACGCUAAUACCGCAUACGAUCUACGGAUGAAAGCGGGGGAUCGCAAGACCUCGCGCGAUUGGAGCGGCCGAUAUCAGAUUAGGUAGUUGGUGAGGUAAAGGCUCACCAAGCCGACGAUCUGUAGCUGGUCUGAGAGGACGACCAGCCACACUGGGACUGAGACACGGCCCAGACUCCUACGGGAGGCAGCAGUGGGGAAUUUUGGACAAUGGGCGCAAGCCUGAUCCAGCAAUGCCGCGUGCAGGAUGAAGGCCUUCGGUUGUAAACUGCUUUGUACGGUACGAAACGGUGAGCUCUAAUACAGUUUGCUAAUGACGGUACCGUAAGAAUAAGACACCGGCUAACUACGUA
Molecule: ribosomal RNA, 479 nt
Filed under: uncultured bacterium
Lineage: Bacteria
Description: bacterial SSU rRNA
Rfam family: Bacterial small subunit ribosomal RNA
Source: RNAcentral